CCUACGGGAGGCCGCAGUGGGGAAUAUUGCACAAUGGGGGAAACCCUGAUGCAGCGACGCCGCGUGAGUGAAGAAGUAUUUCGGUAUGUAAAGCUCUAUCAGCCGGGAAGAAAAUGACGGUACCUGUUUAAGAAGCCCCGGCUAACUACGUGCCAGCAGCCGCGGUAAUACAUCGGGGGCAAGCGUUAUCCGGAUUUACUGGGUGUUAAGGGAGCGUAGACGGCAGCGCAAGUCUGAAGUGAAAGGCCGGGGCUUAACCCCGGAACUGCUUUGGAAACUGUGCAGCUAGAGUGCAGGAGAGGUAAGUGGAAUUCCUAGUGUAGCGGUGAAAUGCGUAGAUAGUAGGAGGAACACCAGUGGCGAAGGCGGCUUACUGGACUGUAACUGACGUUGAGGCUCGAAAGCGUGGGGAGCAAACAGGAUUAGAUACCCCUGUAGUC
Molecule: ribosomal RNA, 440 nt
Filed under: uncultured bacterium
Lineage: Bacteria
Description: partial 16S ribosomal RNA
Rfam family: Bacterial small subunit ribosomal RNA
Source: RNAcentral